ACGUAGGAGGCGAGCGUUAUCCGGAUUUACUGGGCGUAAAGCGUACGCAGGUGGCUUCGUGAGUCGGACAUGAAAGCUCCUGGCUUAACUGGGAGAGGUUGUUCGAUACUGCGGGGCUUGAGGUUGGGAGAGGGACGUGGAAUUCCCGGUGUAGUGGUGGAAUGCGUAGAUAUCGGGAGGAACACCAGUGGCGCAAGCGGCGUCCUGGCCCACACCUGACGCUGAGGUACGAAAGCGUGGGUAGCAAACAG
This 251-nucleotide ribosomal RNA is filed under the name uncultured prokaryote. RNAcentral's name for it is "partial 16S rRNA". It matches the Rfam family "Bacterial small subunit ribosomal RNA", at positions 525 to 775 of the family's 1533-position model. The record is from RNAcentral.